This 802-nucleotide long non-coding RNA is filed under the name Oryza brachyantha (malo sina). RNAcentral's name for it is "long non-coding RNA (OBRA_LNC000726)". Lineage: Eukaryota; Viridiplantae; Streptophyta; Magnoliopsida; Poales; Poaceae. The record is from RNAcentral.
UGCUGAUCUCGGACACCUCCUCGCCUGCCGGUUCUUGGCACGCCGCUUUGCUGCUGCUCUUCAUGCCUGAACGAUCGCAAGAACACCAACCACUCUCACCACUCAGGUUUCUGCCUCAGCUGCAUCCAGAAUCAGACAGAACAACUCAGCUCUCAGCUCAAGCAAACAAACAUUAUGUAGGAGUAUGUGAGAUGUGAGUGGCAAGAUGCUCUGAAAUCAAGAUUAUUCUCUGAACAAGACAGGGCAAUGUCUGUAGUAGUCUCAUCUGCACUCAUUGACUGUAUCACCAAUAUAGCGGAUAUAUGUCACAGCUGAGUGGAGAAGAAUAGAAUAACAUGCAGUAUUCUUCUUGUCAGUGUGGUGGUGAUCAUGAGUUCAUGACAAACUGAAUAACUAGAGAUGGACAGUGUCUGCAGUUAGACAGUUUGUAGAUAAGACCAUGGAGCCCUGAACUGAGAGCAAGUUACUAACUCCAAUUCAUCUGUAGUCAAUCUAAUAGCUAAUUUAUAUAAUAGUUAGCUAUAAUACAUAUUAUCACAUGUUAUGCGCUGCAGCUGGCUGCAAAUUAGUAGCUCACUUCUCUCUUCUCUCUUAUCUCUUUAAAAUAUGUUUAUAGUUGGCUUAUAGUUUCCUAUUGUACAUGCUCUGAUACUUCUUGGCUGAAAUUAGACGAAUGUCUCUUUGUUUAUCCAAAUUAAUAUGUAGACUGUCCAUUGAGCACGACACAUGAAUGCUAAUUAAAGAUAAUAGUGUUAAAGAAAACACCUGAAAAUAUUGAGCUGAAGAGUAGGUAUGACAAACG